UAGAAAUCGUGAUGGCUCGUGAACGGUUGUUGCUGGUCCUACGGGGCAUGUGCACGCUUGGAUCGGGUUCGUUCAUCCUUUUCUUCCACACACCUGUGCACGAUCUGUAGCUUAGGGAUGAUCACGAAGUUGCUCUGUCGAUUUCGAAUGCCCUUCGCUAUGUAUUAUAACACACGCUCUAUGUAUUUUGGAAUGUUAUGGAUAUGCGCUUUAACAGACGCAGAUGCAAUA
Molecule: unclassified non-coding RNA, 231 nt
Filed under: uncultured Hydnellum
Lineage: Eukaryota; Fungi; Basidiomycota; Agaricomycetes; Thelephorales; Thelephoraceae
Description: sequence contains ITS1
Source: RNAcentral